AAUGGAGGGGGAAAUAGACUGGGUUAUUCCUAGCACCGCUUCCCAGAAUAGAAAAAAAAAGAAAGAGAGAGGGAGGGAGUGCGCGCGAGCGCAGGAGAAUAAAAGCGACAGCGUGAAGGCAAGGGCAUCACCAAAGGGAUCACACUGCUAGGUAAAUCAAUGUAAGCAUGGGAACUGGGCUUGGAGACAAUUUUACAGUCGACUGCGCUGUCCCUUCACAGUGCACAAGAAGGAAAUCUGCUUUUUUUUUGACCCUCAGGCCGUGUUUCAGCAGUGUCUAUUAACACAUAAUGCAGAAUGCGGUUGCUGGUGUGUCUGCAUGCAACGUGGAGUCAUUUUCUCCAGGAAACAUUAUGGAUAUUCCCACUGAACUAAACUAUUAAUCAGCAGUUAAAUAGUGAAAGAAAAAAAUGAAGAAAAAAACAAACGCUGACAGAAACGAUAGCUAUUAUCACAUUCCUGAUUGUGCUAUUUUGUUAUGUGAAAGUGUGAUCGGUAUUACACAUAUUUUGAGAGGUGUGACACCCUAUCAUGGGACCUAUGUGUCAUCCUUGGCUUACGUAGAUUAUUAUUUUUAAUUUUUUUAUGUUCACAUGCUGAUUGCCUUAUGUGCAAUAAAUAAAUAAUUACAUAUCCCACA
Long non-coding RNA from Ictalurus punctatus (channel catfish), 640 nucleotides. RefSeq lists it as uncharacterized. The transcript is spliced from 2 exons. Lineage: Eukaryota; Metazoa; Chordata; Actinopteri; Siluriformes; Ictaluridae. The record is from RefSeq and is a predicted model, not a curated record.